GACGAACGCUGGCGGCGUGCUUAACACAUGCAAGUCGAACGAUGAAGCCCAGCUUGCUGGGUGGAUUAGUGGCGAACGGGUGAGUAACACGUGGGCACCCUGCCCCAAACUCUGGGAUAACUCCUCGAAAGAGGUGCUAAUACCGGAUACGAACUAGACAGACAUCUGUACUAGUUGGAAAGUCUUUCGGUUUGGGAUGGGCCCGCGGCCUAUCAGCUUGUUGGUGAGGUAACGGCUCACCAAGGCUACGACGGGUAACCGGCCUGAGAGGGCGACCGGUCACACUGGGACUGAGACACGGCCCAGACUCCUACGGGAGGCAGCAGUGGGGAAUAUUGCGCAAUGGGCGAAAGCCUGACGCAGCGACGCCGCGUGAGGGAUGAAGGUCUUCGGAUCGUAAACCUCUUUCAGUAGGGACGAAGCGAAAGUGACGGUACCUAAAGAAGAAGCACCGGCUAACUUCGUGCCAGCCGCCGCGGUAA
Molecule: ribosomal RNA, 482 nt
Filed under: uncultured bacterium
Lineage: Bacteria
Description: partial 16S ribosomal RNA
Rfam family: Bacterial small subunit ribosomal RNA
Source: RNAcentral